AUUCUUGUAGUUGAAAUACAACGGUGGUUUUUCAAGCCAUUAGUUUUGGUUAAAGUCCUAACAGGAAUU
Monopterus albus (swamp eel) is the source of this 69-nucleotide non-coding RNA. Lineage: Eukaryota; Metazoa; Chordata; Actinopteri; Synbranchiformes; Synbranchidae. The record is from the annotation of a RefSeq genome assembly.